UUAACAAUUUUAAUUAUGUCUAGUACACAACAGUUACUGUCGGAAAAUAUUUUGUAGCAAGUCGCCUGGAUUUGCACUUAGCAAGCAGUAUCUUUUCAAGUUAAAACUCGUGUUUUAGUAAUCAAGUUUCAAUUUUCUAACUCUUUCCCCCUCAAAAAAGUGAUUGGGUAAAAUGGUCCGUUUGAUAGAAGUAAGAUGUCGCUAACAUCGCAUUGUUUUGUAGUCCUGUAGAAAGUUCUGGAUGCUUUCUUUUCUUGUGUUUUUGGAAUAAAUUCAACACUAUAUCAAAUAUUGUGUACUAUCUGACAGGCUAACAACGUCUGGUUUUCGUCACCUGACUGAACUGUUUGACAUCUGCCUAAUCCUUCCUGGUAUGAAAAUUAUCUUUACUAAUCAGACAUUAGAAGGAUAUACUGAACUCUGAAUUACGUAACUGCUUCAGCGAAUCGCUGUCACUGGCUUCUUGAAUUUUCCCCAUCUUUUACUUGUGCUUUAGUUACCCUCAUGUCCUUUUUUUGCCUCUGGUUUUCCAAACGCGAGUUACAGAUAAAACGCAAAUCCCCUUACAAACUAAGCAAGGGCAAAAGAAACAUCGUCAACGAAUCGAUCCUUUUUAUUCAGUUCAAAUCUUCGAUCUUAUGCACAAUUGCGCACAAUUGUACCGUUGUUUUUUACUUCAAGUAAGUCAUGAACUAGAAUGGCUUAGAAGUGUCAUGUGAAAGUGCCCAAAUUUAAUUUUUUCAUUUGGCUAUACCCAUAAUGAGAUAAAAACUGUGCCAUUCACCUGUGACUGAGAAGUCGUUGCUUUAGGCGAAAUUAAUAACCAAAAUUAAAUUGCGACACAAUUGUUUGUUACUUAUUGUUGUUUGUUUUUGUUAUUUUAAAUUCAAUGGACUGACGUCGAUUGUCACCACCAGUUUUGAAGUUUGGGGCUUUAGCUGUUUGUGGUGUAUUGGCUGCUUUUCGGUGAGGACGGGAUGAUCGUGACUUGGAUUUGGAAUCCUGGAAGUGUUCCUCACUAUAAGCUCCGGUCAACAUUAUGUCUUGCGGAUGCAUGUGUGCCUUACUUUCCCGCCAGAAGCCGUUCUUCUGGAGUGGACAGCCGGAAGUGGUUGAUUCCUGCAAAAUUUUUGACAUUAUUUUUUACGUCCCUCGGAUCUCGAGUCGGCCGCCGAUGUCAAUCUACAACGCUGUUUCUUUGAUGGAAUUGUGUGGUCCCUGCACGAUGACAGAUAAGUCAUGGACGUUUUGCACAAUCGAUAUCUUCGUGACGCACACUCAUCUAGCUUCACUGCUUCUCAUGCUGCUACUCAACUCGUCUUAGCACUGGCCAGUCAGAUCACUCCAGUGAUCGCUUCCGUCCGCUGUUACAGUGUUACACACCUGCAGUCACUCACCACGGGAUUACCAACACCACGAGGUACCCAACAAUUGACUUAGUUUCCUCCACGUUCCUCCUUCCUCCUUCCACGUUCCUCUUCUGUCCUCGCGUACGUCUAUGUGAGCGCAAAGGUAUCCAUGGGGACGUCGUAUAUAUUCCGCUUCCACCUCCAGAAGUCACCACUGCUACCCUAAUCAUUCAUUUGGCCAUCAAGUUAAUAAUAAGGUUCGGCAACUGCUUGGUCAAAAUGGUGCUGCUGUUCAUCCAUGGGUGAAGAUACAUAGUACACGCCUGCACUUAAUUUUUACUACCAUGUGUGAAUUGUUCAUCGAUGUUUGAAGUUGAGGGUUUUUUAUGAAGUCUGAAGAGUGUCUGAAGAUAUUUUGUAGUCAGCCCUUGACCAAAGAAGGGAAUUCAACAUUAUCGAUAAUCAGAUUUAAAUUAUGUAGCAGAUCUAACUUGAGUUGUGCUAUCUUUGUUACCUGCAAUUUGUCGCAAUGGUAUUUUUAUUUGUAUCACUUAGUAAUGAAAUAUACAAUCUAAAAUUGA
This 1930-nucleotide long non-coding RNA is filed under the name Daphnia pulicaria. RNAcentral's name for it is "uncharacterized LOC124313574, transcript variant X1". Lineage: Eukaryota; Metazoa; Arthropoda; Branchiopoda; Diplostraca; Daphniidae. The record is from RNAcentral.